Molecule: ribosomal RNA, 253 nt
Filed under: uncultured bacterium
Lineage: Bacteria
Description: partial 16S ribosomal RNA
Rfam family: Bacterial small subunit ribosomal RNA
Source: RNAcentral
UACGGAGGGCGCAAGCGUUGUUCGGAAUUACUGGGCGUAAAGGGCGUGUAGGCGGUGUGGUCAGUCAGAUGUGAAAGCCCUGGGCUUAACCCAGGAAGUGCAUUUGAAACUGCCAUGCUUGAGUAUGGGAGAGGAGAGUGGAAUUCCCAGUGUAGAGGUGAAAUUCGUAGAUAUUGGGAGGAACACCCGUGGAGAAGGCGACUCUCUGGACCAAUACUGACGCUGAGGCGCGAAAGCGUGGGGAGCAAACAGG